GCCAGCGAUCCGGCUGUGUUCCUCAAAUGACACGCCGGGCAGCUUCCGGGAAACCAAAGCUUUUGGGUUCCGGGGGAAGUAUGGUUGCAAAGCUUAAACUUAAAGGAAUUGACGGAAGGGCACCACCAGGUGUGGAGCCUGCGGCUCAAUUUGACUCAACACUGGAAAACUCAUCCGGCCCGGACACAGGAAGGAUUGACAGAUUAAGAGCUCUUUCUUGAUUCUGUGGGUGGUGGUGCAUGGCCGUUCUUAGUUGGUGGAGCGAUUUGUCUGGUUAAUUCCGAUAACGAACGAGACUCUAGCCUACUAAAUAGACGUUCCGAUCCUCUCCAGUCGGACGCUCUUCUUAGAGGGACAAGCGGCGCUUAGCCGCACGAGACAGAGCAAUAACAGGUCUGGUAUGCCCUUAGAUGUCCGGAGCCGCACGCGCGCUACAUUGAAGGAAUCAGCGUGUGCUUUCCCGGUCCGACAGGACUGGGUAACCCGUUGAACCUCCUUCGUGCUGGGGAUAGGGGUUUGUAAUUAUCCCCCUUGAACGAGGAAUUCCCAGUAAGCACGAGUCAUCAGCUCGUGUUGAUUAAGUCCCUGCCCUUUGUACACACCGCCCGUCGCUACAAUCGAUUGAAUGAUUUAGUGAGGUCUUCGGACUGGCGACCGGAUUG
RNAcentral lists this ribosomal RNA (662 nucleotides) under Nanoa enana. RNAcentral's name for it is "SSU rRNA". It matches the Rfam family "Eukaryotic small subunit ribosomal RNA", at positions 1045 to 1729 of the family's 1831-position model. Lineage: Eukaryota; Metazoa; Arthropoda; Arachnida; Araneae; Pimoidae. The record is from RNAcentral.